GACGAACGCUGGCGGCGUGCUUAACACAUGCAAGUCGAACGGAAAGGCCUGCUUUCCCUUGUGGAUUGCGGGUACUCGAGUGGCGAACGGGUGAGUAACACGUGAGUGAUCUGCCCCCAACUUGGGUAUAAGCCUGGGAAACUGGGUCUAAUUCCCGAUAGGACUGCAGGGUGGUGCCUGUGGUGGAAAACGAUUUUCUAGUGGUUGGGGAUGAGCUCGCGGCCUAUCAGCUUGUUGGUGGGGUAAUGGCCUACCAAGGCGGCGACGGGUAGCCGGCCUGGGAGGGUGGACGGCCGCAUUGGGACUGCGAUACGGCCCAGACUCCUACGGGAGGCAGCCGUGGGGAGUAUUGCACAAUGGGCGGAAGCCUGAUGCAGCGACGCCGCGUGGGGGAUGCCGGCCUUCGGGUUGUAAACUCCUUUCGACCGCGAGGAAGCCACCUGGUUGGAAGGGUGGUGACGGUAGUGGUAGAAGAAGCACCGGCUAACUACGUG
RNAcentral lists this ribosomal RNA (494 nucleotides) under uncultured bacterium. RNAcentral describes it as "partial 16S ribosomal RNA". It matches the Rfam family "Bacterial small subunit ribosomal RNA", at positions 28 to 507 of the family's 1533-position model. The record is from RNAcentral.